AGUGAACGCUGGCGGUAGGCCUAACACAUGCCAGUCGAACGGCAGCACAGUAAGAGCUUGCUCUUACGGGUGGCGAGUGGCGGACGGGUGAGGAAUACAUCGGAAUCUACUUUUUCGUGGGGGAUAACGUAGGGAAACUUACGCUAAUACCGCAUACGACCUACGGGUGAAAGCAGGGGGUCUUCGGACCUUGCGCGAUUGAAUGAGCCGAUGUCGGAUUAGCUAGUUGGCGGGGUAAAGGCCCACCAAGGCGACGAUCCGUAGCUGGUCUGAGAGGAUGAUCAGCCACACUGGAACUGAGACACGGUCCAGACUCCUAUGGGAGGCAGCAGUGGGGAAUAUUGGACAAUGGGCGCAAGCCUGAUCCAGCCAUACCGCGUGGGUGAAGAAGGCCUUCGGGUUGUAAAGCCCUUUUGUUGGGAAAGAAAAGCAGCAGGUUAAUACCCCGCUGUUCUGACGGUACCCAAAGAAUAAGCACCGGCUAACUUCGUG
This 492-nucleotide ribosomal RNA is filed under the name uncultured bacterium. Its description in RNAcentral is "partial 16S ribosomal RNA". It matches the Rfam family "Bacterial small subunit ribosomal RNA", at positions 29 to 507 of the family's 1533-position model. The record is from RNAcentral.